RNAcentral lists this long non-coding RNA (2548 nucleotides) under Salvia miltiorrhiza (redroot sage). Its description in RNAcentral is "long non-coding RNA (SMIL_LNC005833)". Lineage: Eukaryota; Viridiplantae; Streptophyta; Magnoliopsida; Lamiales; Lamiaceae. The record is from RNAcentral.
AAUUCUACACACCAAAAGCAGACGCCCAUCCAUACACAAAUCAUCCACAGCAAUAAACCACAUCAGUUCACAGCAAAGAAGGUAGUCUUUCUUUUAUUCAAUAAUCCAUUCAUUGAGUAUAGAUCAACAGCCACGAACAAUCAAAAUAGAUAUAGUUAUACUAGUUAAGCAUAAGCAGCAGUAUACUUCGUCAUCAACGAUCCCAAUUUUCAAUAAUUGAACAAGAAACCAGAUAAAUAAAAAGAAAAGAAGAAAAGGUAGAAUCUUGGGCAGUAGACGAAGCUGCCACGCCGGAAUCGACGACGCCGAUCAAUUCCUGAAAUAGGAAACAGUUGUAGAUUUAUUAAAUUAAGGUUUUAAAAUUUGAUAAUAAAGAAAAAGAACAGAAAUAGAAGGAGAAGAGGAAAGAGGCAGCGGUAGCCGCGAACCCUCGCGGCGGAGGCGCAACCGCCGGCGCUGCCCGCGCCACGGCGGCCCGCGGUGGCUGCCAACAGCAGAGAGGGAAACAGGAAGGGAGAGAGACUUUGAGCGAUAAAGAGAGAUAGAGAGUGAGACUGAAAGAGAGACAGAUGUGAGAGGGAGAGGGAAGCAAAUCGAGAUAGAGGGAGAGAGAAAAGAGCAGGGCGGCGGCGACAAUCGGCGCUGCAUGCGCUGCCGCGGCCGCCGCGAGCAAGAGGGCAGAGGGGGAGAUCGAGAGGGAGAUCAGAGAAAGGACAGAGAGAUAGAUUGUGAGAGAAGGAGGAAAAGAGAUUACCUGGGAUGAAGACGGCGACGGACCUUGCCGGAGGGGUGGAUUCCAGAAGGAAAAAUAGAGCCAGAAAACCCUAGAAUUUGGGGGUUUUAGAAUUUGGGGAGAAAAUAGGGAAGGAAAGGAGAGGGCAGAAGAGGGGCCGGCCUCGCCGCGCCGGAGGCGGCGAGAACCGGCGAUGCUCGCCGAGAAAGAGAGAGAGAAGAGCGGUGAGAGAGAGAGAGAGCGCAGAGAGAGAGACGUUGGUGAGGAAAAAGAAAAGAAAAGAGAGAGACAUUAAGUUAUUUUAGUUGGGCUUAAGUUAAUAUGAUGUGCAUAUUAAUAUUCUAAUGGGCUUAAGUUAAAUUACAUUGCUAUUGGGCUUUGAAUUAAUUUAGUAACAGAUUUAUUUAAGUUGAGCCCUUAAUUUAUUUAAUUGGACCAUUGAUUUAUCAUUAUUUAAGCCCAAUAGUUUAUGUAAAUCCAAUAGUUUAUGUAAAUAAUAUUAACUAUUGUAAAUCCAAUAGUUUAUGUAAAUAAUAUUAGCUAUUCGUUCAUAAUUAGUUUGAGUUAUAUUGUCUAAACAUAUAGAAUUAUUUAGUUCAUUAAGAUUAAUUUAUACAUAAACCUUAUGUGUUUAUGCAUAAAUUAGACAAUAUAUAUUAUUUCAGAUCAAGUUCUUUAAAGAAAAGGAAAUAGAGAAUUUAAGUUAUUUCUAUGUUAAUAGUCGCUUAUUAAAUAGGUGUGAGCAGUGUUAUGUUAACACCGCAGUUAUAAUUAUCGCAGUUUAAGUUCAUGUUGAUAUUUAUUGGUAAGUUUGCCAAAUAUCAACUAGUCUUCAUAUCAAAAUUUUCAGUAGAACUAUCACCUUAAAACCAACAUAAGUAUUCUCUAAAUAAAUUUCAUAUCAUGUUCUCAUUAUUUAUUAGUCAGUAUUUAUACUGAAGGUCAAAUACAAGGGAAAAGAAGUAAAGCAUUAGUUCAGAGUUACUUGUGUCGUCAGACCACGAUCAGGUGGGCUUUCUAAACUCAAAAUCUGAAGUGCACACUAUUUCAUGAUGUUUACAUGAAUGAAGUUAUAUUAAAGUUAUUGACUUGCCAAAAUUUUAUGAGCUUGUAUGAUACCUAUCUGGCACCAGAAGUUAAUCGAAUUCGGAUCCUGUUCUAUCCAGAUGUUAGACAGGAUUAGUGUACACAAGGGACCGUGAGCCGAUUUAGCAUAUCGGCCGGCCUAGGACCGUGAGCCGGUUUAGCGUAUCGGCCGGCCUAAGACCGUGAGCCGGUUUAGCGUAUCGGCCGGUCUAGGUCCGUGAGCUGGUUUAGCGUAUCGGCCGGUCUAGGACCGUGAGCCGGUUUAGCGUAUCGGCCGGUCAGUGACCGUAGAAGGUGGCCACCUUCUCGGCACACAGUUAUCAUUGCAGAUAUGGUAUAGUACAAAGAAGUAUGUCUGCAGACGCAUAUGAAGUUUAUGAUAUGUAUAUAGAAGUUUUACAGUUUUGGCGUGCACAGGUUAUUUAAAUAAAACUCCUGUGUGAUGCUUGAGAUGGCAAGUUCAAUUUAUAGCUCUAAGAGCAAUCUUUAAAGUUAUUUCGGCAUGUGACCAUUGAGUACCUUUUUAGUACUCAGCCCUGCAUAUGUUUUCUAAAUGUGCAGGUUAAGCUGUGAUGCAGAUGGAUGUCAGCAGAGCAAAGCUUUUGAUAUAUAAGUACUAAAUUAGGCUCAGGAUUCCAUGUCUUCAUACAUGUAAUCCACUUAAGCUAUUCCGCUGCAACGCUUAGUGCGUUUUACUUUAUUGAUGUGUUGCAAAGAUUUCAAACUAAU